Long non-coding RNA from Solea senegalensis (Senegalese sole), 2209 nucleotides. RefSeq lists it as uncharacterized. The record is from RefSeq and is a predicted model, not a curated record. NCBI's taxonomy places the organism in Eukaryota, Metazoa, Chordata, Actinopteri, Pleuronectiformes, Soleidae. The transcript has 2 exons.
GGCAGCGCGUGGAGAAGGGAACCACCUGCAGGUAGAAGUCGUUGCUGCGCAGGAGCCUCCAGUCUAACGUGGAGAGCUGGACGACCACUUUCUCUCCCAGACACAGAGGCCAGCCGGAGUGAAGGAACAAGCAACCCAGCAGCAACACGCUCACAUAUGGAAGGAAUUAUUGUCGUGACUCUCGCCGUCUAACUCCCCGUCCGAAGGCAGCUCCACUUGGCAACAAUGAGAACACAGUUUGCUCACAAUGCUCCGCACACGUCUGUGUCUGUGAUGCUAGGAGAAACUGCAAAAAACAAAUAUAGGAGACAGUUCUGAGACGGCAAAGUUUGGAAACCUGUGAGGCAGAGAGUACGCGACACAAUCACCGCCUACUGAGCUUGACGCGUCUGUAAACUACUUUACUUCACUGCAUUUCUCUCAUCCUUCAACUCGGUCGAGCCCCUGACACAGGAAACGACCUCUUUUGUCCACUGGGUGACACCAUCUCGAAUUUCAGCAGCUACUUUCACUCAUUUUAUAACCUGGCCUGUCGAGAGUUUCUGGGGCGGACUCGACCCGCCGCGGUGCAGCUGAGUGACUUGUAAAGAAGGUCACGCAUGUGUCGUAUAAUAUAAAGCCCACCUUGAACUUUCCCUUGGUGUGACCUGGUCCUGUGCUCUUCAUCUUCUUUUUUUUUGGGAAGGCCCGGAUAAGAUCCAGCUACUGGCUUGGACUUUAUUGGACGAUUUGCGCAAGAAAGUUCAUACUUCAUACUUUAAACCAGUGAGAGCCAAACACUGGGGUGGGACCCACAGAUGGGGUCACAGGAGAUUUCUUUUGGGUUUUUUGGGUCCCCAAGCAAAUUUGCAGAAUUUUUCUUCAGUCGAAAAUGAUGUGUAUAUGUUCUGAAAAACAUGCGUAAGAUGAAGUACAGUAGCAGUCUAAAUUAGACUGCUUUUAAAGACCUUAAGGCGUCUUUAUUGGCGGAAAUAGAAUAUACUACUCAUUGAGUAUGUUUGUGUAAGUGUAAAAUAAUUUGAUUUUCUGAGCCUAAGAAUUUGCUUUUUAUGUCCACUUUAGACGUUUGGGAAUGCUAACGUCAGCAAUGGACAGGAAGUUAGCUCAAUUUCAGCAAAAUAAGGCAUCAAUGAUAGCAGUUUUAACGGGGGUUAAACUCAACUAACCCAAGUACAGGAAGACCGUUGACGGACAUAGUCUUUUGACUUUUGAAGCCUCGAGAUUCGCCUCGACAGUUUUUGCGACCGGAAAUUAAAAGACGUCACCAGCAAUCGGCCACCUAGUGGACGGUAUUUAUAAUAGACAAAAUGAACCUCAUCUUAAACGAGCGCGUGAUUGAUUGAGACCCUUAACUCAAGUGAGAAGUAGAAGCUUCCACUCCUUUCAAACCUCAUUCUUUUUGCAAAAAAAAAACUGCAGCCGCCCCCUGGUGGAUAACUGCCAAUUGCCUCCAAACGUACAGUCUUUGAGGGCGACCUGACAGCCCGAUGAUUACGACAUGGGCAGACGUGCCCUGUGCGGCUCGGUCCCUGGUUGAACCCGCAGCCAUCUGGACCAUUUGCUGCUCGUCAACUCCCCUCGUCUCCAAUUACAUUUCCUGUCUGUCUCCACUAUCACUGUGCACUGAACUGUACUGACUUCACGUAAGGUUUCAUGAGACGAGGCUUUGGACUUUUCUUGGUUGGUUUCAGCUCAUUCGGUGGCAUCACGAGUGCAAACAUAAAGUCUUACAAGGCCUUUGGACCUGACUUAUGACUUGUCUCGUGUUGGACAAGACGCCCACGAACUCACUCAGAAACAGAUGCUCCGAAAAAGAGUUUUCACCAAAAGAAUCCGAAAAGGCUUAACAGCUGAUACAUUUCUCACACAGCUCUUAAAGGAUAUGACAGAUGCUUCUGCUUCUCAUUAUUCUGAGCGUGUGUUUUGGUGUGAAGCCGGGUUCUCAGCGAGGAACUCACGCAAGCGUGCUGCUGCAGUUUGUGCAGGAGAUGCUUGGCGGGAACAAAGUAGUCCAGUAGGUAGCGGAGACUGUCGUGUUGGUAGGUCGACUCCAGGACUGAGAAGACCUGGACAGAGACGGACAAAGGAGACAAAAACUCCUGAAGUGAAAAACCACAUUCCUUCUCAUUUUGGACUUGAAAAUGUUACUUGUUACUGAAAUGUUACAGGAAAGGCACAAUAAAUUGAUUGUGGGGAAUACUCGCCAAAA